AGCGCAUCAAUUAACAUCAAAGGAGGAUUGUGGUAGCAAGAAAAUCAACUUAAAUAGCAAGCAAAAGAAGGUAAGUUCCUAUUUUGAUUUUAAUAUUAGCAAUUGAGAACUUUAUGCUAGAUUGUUAUAAUUGAGUUGUAAUUAGUAACUUGUAGUUAAGGGAGUUUAUGAUGUGUGGAGUGAUAAUGGUUAAAUUUUUUUUGGCUAGACUUCAUCUAAAUCUCUAUGAAAUUUGGAUUCUAAAGCUAUGCAUAGUACAUGCUCGAUAAAUGCCCCUAAGAGGUUGUUAUGUUUAAAAAUUAAGAAUUGGUCAAUGUUGUGAGUAAGAAUAAAAUUUCUAAUUAACCUGAAAUAAUUACGUUUCUCUUCCAAAUGUUAAGUUGUACUGCCUCAAAAUAAUUGGAGCAUUUAUUUGUGAUGUAUACAGUAGGUUUUACUCAUGACAAUUCGCAUUGACUGAUUUUGAAGGAAUUUGAGGAGGUUUUUGGAAAUGAAGAGGGAUUAGCUAAAGAAAUUGCUUUCAGUGACUUGAGAAAUGUAGUCAAAAUACAAAUUAAUUGAUUCGUACCUUUGUAGUCACUUUUCAGAUUCAGUUUGCAGUUUCAAAAUCAAUUUUUUGUUACUAUUUCGGAAUCCUUUGUUUGGUUUGUGCAUGUCGGUUUUCGGAUGCUAUGUUUUUGCAUACAGAUUAAUUGCUUCGUACCUUUGUAGUCAAUUUCCAGAUUCAGUUUGC
Molecule: long non-coding RNA, 733 nt
Filed under: Panax ginseng (ginseng)
Lineage: Eukaryota; Viridiplantae; Streptophyta; Magnoliopsida; Apiales; Araliaceae
Description: long non-coding RNA (PGIN_LNC012795)
Source: RNAcentral